AACGAACGCUGGCGGCAGGCUUAACACAUGCCAGUCGAACGCCCCGCCAGGGGAGUGGCAGACGGGUGAGUACCGCGUGGGAAUCUACCCAUCCCUACGGAAUAACGCAUGGAAACGUGUGCUAAUACCGUAUACGCCCUACGGGGGAAAGAUUUAUCGGGGAUGGAUGAGCCCGCGUUGGAUUAGCUAGUUGGUGGGGUAAAGGCCUACCAAGGCGACGAUCCAUAGCUGGUCUGAGAGGAUGAUCAGCCACAUUGGGACUGAGACACGGCCCAAACUCCUACGGGAGGCAGCAGUGGGGAAUAUUGGACAAUGGGCGCAAGCCUGAUCCAGCCAUGCCGCGUGAGUGAUGAAGGCCUUAGGGUUGUAAAGCUCUUUCACCGGAGAAGAUAAUGACGGUAGCCGGAGAAGAAGCCCCGGCUAACUUCGUG
Molecule: ribosomal RNA, 431 nt
Filed under: uncultured bacterium
Lineage: Bacteria
Description: partial 16S ribosomal RNA
Rfam family: Bacterial small subunit ribosomal RNA
Source: RNAcentral